RNAcentral lists this ribosomal RNA (305 nucleotides) under uncultured bacterium. RNAcentral's name for it is "partial 16S ribosomal RNA". It matches the Rfam family "Bacterial small subunit ribosomal RNA", at positions 508 to 807 of the family's 1533-position model. The record is from RNAcentral.
ACAGCAGUCGCCGCGGUAAUACAGAGGGUGCGAGCGUUAAUCGGAUUUACUGGGCGUAAAGCGUGCGUAGGCGGCUUUUUAAGUCGGAUGUGAAAUCCCUGAGCUUAACUUAGGAAUUGCAUUCGAUACUGGGAAGCUAGAGUAUGGGAGAGGAUGGUAGAAUUCCAGGUGUAGCGGUGAAAUGCGUAGAGAUCUGGAGGAAUACCGAUGGCGAAGGCAGCCAUCUGGCCUAAUACUGACGCUGAGGUACGAAAGCAUGGGGAGCAAACAGGAUUAGAGACCCCCGUAGUCCCUGUCUCUUAUAC